GUGGAUUAGAUACCCUGGUAGUCCACGCUGUAAACGAUGAGAGCUAGUUGUCGGCACGCAUGCGUGUCGGUGACGCAGCUAACGCAUUAAGCUCUCCGCCUGGGGAGUACGGCCGCAAGGUUAAAACUCAAAGAAAUUGACGGGGGCCCGCACAAGCGGUGGAGCAUGUGGUUUAAUUCGAAGCAACGCGCAGAACCUUACCCACGUUUGACAUGUCUAGUUUGGUCGUCAGAGAUGACUUCCUUCAGUUCGGCUGGCUAGAACACAGGUGCUGCAUGGUCGUCGUCAGCU
RNAcentral lists this ribosomal RNA (291 nucleotides) under uncultured bacterium. RNAcentral's name for it is "partial 16S ribosomal RNA". It matches the Rfam family "Bacterial small subunit ribosomal RNA", at positions 773 to 1060 of the family's 1533-position model. The record is from RNAcentral.